UUAAUUUUUAUAUUUCAAUUGAAUUUAUUUUUUAAAGUUCCCUACAUUUUCACUCCUACACUUCCUCCUUUUUUUUUCUUUUUUUUUUUUUUAAUCAAUAAUCCAUAUUUAGAACAGCUCUUGGGAAGGUACACAGAGGUUAGUGAGGGAGUUUGAUCUCUGGGCACCCCUGCAAGAGGAGAUUUGCAGUGUUUUGCACAUCAGUAGCAGUAGAUGCUUGGACGAUUAGUGGAAACUUGCUGAGGAGCACCUUUACUCUUUCCAUCCCCUGUGAACCAUGAUAAGUGACUGAAUGUGCUUAUGGGUCACUUGAAUUUCUGGUGCUUCCCGUGUGCCGUAGGUAGCCUCUACUCUCCUUUUUUUAUAAGACCUACACUUUGCAUGUCCUCUGUGGUUUUAAGUUUUCUGUCUAUCACGCUGUAAUGUUCCUGUAUUCAGUGCUGCUUCAAGCAGCAGUGCAAGCAAUACGGUGGUGGUGGUGCAGAGCUUGGUGUGUCCCAGCUGCUUGGGUACUUACCCAGCAUCUCAGGCAGGCUGGGGGCUGCAUUUGAGUUCUUCAUCUCUUCAGCCUCGUGAAGAGCACUCUACUUAAGCUGCUGGUUUUCAAGGUGGCAGCUUUGCAGCGGUGGUUGCAGUGGUUUCCAGCAGUACGUGCCAAUGGAAUUUCUUCCAGAUACUUCUUCAGACAGGAAAUCUUAACAUGGCAUGUAGCAGCUCCUGAGUGUCUGCAAUUUGCUUUUUGACUUAUCAACAUAAUUUGUGAUUUUUCAGUUAAUAAGCCCCAGACUCCAGUAGUUCAAUGCAUGUCCAAUUCAGCCUCAUCCUGGUUGGGAGGAUUAUGGUAACCUCUGGCAGAAGAGCAAGUGGUAGGCUGGGAGUGAUGACUUCUGUAGCUGUCCCAGUGCCAAAUGUGAUGCAACAGGUUGAAGCUGGUUUGAGAACAUCUGUGAGCUGCACUUCAGGAAAUGACAACUCUGCAGAGCUCCAAUGUGAAGAUUACUCUGUGAAAGUUCUCAGAGCAUCUUGAGUGAACGCAAGAGUUCAGCCCCUCCUUCAGGACCCUUUGUAAUUGAUAUAUUCUGGAAGAAAAAAGGAGAAAUAUAACCACGCUGUGCGGAAUUGCAGCUCUUUCAGAGAGCUGUUUCUCUACUAUUCCUGACAUCGAAAUGGACAGAAUGGAAACCAGCAGAGUCUGACCGUCACGGCUGUUGCUUUAUGUGUCCCGUUACACAACCAGUUUGAAUUCCUUCUGCUUAUUAGCUCUCUGUGAAGUCCAAGAUUUAAACUGGCAAUUCUGAGAAUGCUCAAGGAUAGAUAAAGACCGCUUCCGAAUGGCUUCUUAGACAGACCUGGUAUUCCUGCUUCUCGAGUGCUCCAAGUCCUUGUCAUCAAGCUGACUCCUGUGGCCUUUCUACCCUGUGCGCAUACUCUGCAGUCAAGGAAAUGAAAUCAAGAAUGGUGCAUGAUGCCAAUUUUUAAAAUUUUAUUAACAGCAGAGAAAUAUUUCUUGGAGAAAAGUUGAGUUUUACCACCUGUGUUGUCAGUCCUGAAGAUAGUUUUCUGGGAGGACCUGGGCAAAUUUCUUCACAGCACUCCACCUCAGCUUUCUUCUGCAUAAAAUGGGGAUAAUAAUGCUUUAUCCAGCCUAGAAAAAUGUUCGAAGUGCAAACAGAAAACCUGGUGAUAAGAAUGAAAGCUGUUCUAUCUGAGCUAAAUCUUGGAGCCUUGUUGAGGUUUUUACAAAGUAGGUUUUGAUGU
Grus americana (Whooping crane) is the source of this 1758-nucleotide long non-coding RNA. RefSeq lists it as uncharacterized. The transcript is spliced from 5 exons. The record is from RefSeq and is a predicted model, not a curated record. Lineage: Eukaryota; Metazoa; Chordata; Aves; Gruiformes; Gruidae.